Camellia sinensis is the source of this 483-nucleotide non-coding RNA. The record is from RefSeq and is a predicted model, not a curated record. Lineage: Eukaryota; Viridiplantae; Streptophyta; Magnoliopsida; Ericales; Theaceae.
GUAUAUAUAUUUCAUAGACACAUUUUUGGAACUGUUUUGUCUCACACACCAACACACAGACCUCACACACCAACAUACAGACCUCACACACCAGUAGUCAAUACCAAACUUGACCGCCGAUCAUCACCAUCGCUGGCCACCGGCGCUGGCCACCACGACCCCUGCAAAUCGGCCCCACCACUGAUUACAGGUGACUAAUACACCAUGGGGCGAAAGGGUAUCAUUUUUAUUCGAUCCUACUACUGAUCUAGUUGCAAAAUCAUAGCAUAUUAGUCCAUUCAUGGUACCAUGGUUCCUGGAAUCAAGAUGGGACGGCGGAAGAGAGCAACAAGUGCCAACGUAUUAUCAGCCUCUGAAGCAUGUCCACCUGAGAUUGGCACCCCGUUGACGUUCUCUGAUGAGACACUGCCACCAGAUGAUACACAAACAGUGGUGGAGGAGACGCAGCCAGGUGGCGUGGGUAAGAGCAUUGAACUUAGUUGU